RNAcentral lists this long non-coding RNA (1026 nucleotides) under Bos grunniens (domestic yak). RNAcentral's name for it is "lncRNA (ENSBGRG00000003225.1)". Lineage: Eukaryota; Metazoa; Chordata; Mammalia; Artiodactyla; Bovidae. The record is from RNAcentral.
AUGGGGAAGGGGCAGGGGAGCAGGUGGGGCCCACUGGGGCAGGGGUGGCGGCGAGCCUGGCCCCAGACUCUGCAGGGAGGCGCGGGGUCUCAAUUGGGACAAAGGGCAGGCUGGGGAGGAAAAGAGGACCCAGAAGAAAGGAGGGAGCGGACGAAAUGGGAGAGAAGCGGGCGAGGGGAGGGAAGCGAGUCCCCGCGGCCAGAGGAGACUCCUGGUCAUCACACCGGCCGUGGGAGGGGGUCCCCGGGCGGAGGGGGGCGGUCCCCGGGACCUGCAGGGCGGAGCAGCAGAGAAGGAGGUGAGGAGGGGGCAGAGACACAGGGAGGUGGAGAGACCAACUGGAGAGACAGAGGCGGAGACAUAAAACAGAAAGAGGUGAAGCAGACAGAGAGAGAUGGAGUCGGAGAUGCGACCGAUACAGAGACACUAUCGGUACAGAGAUGCAGAGAGCUUGGUGGGGAGAAGCAGAGAAAAGAUGAGCCGAAGGCGGAAUGGAGGGAGGGAAAGACGGAGGCACGGACGCGGAGAUGGAGUGUCCAACAGACAGAGGGAGGAAAGGUUGGAGAGAGGGGACCAGGCGCGGAUGAGACAAACACACAGACAGCGGGAAGAAGACAGCCCAAGGCAGGGCAGGCAGGCGCAGGAGAGACACGCAGACAGGCUGUCGCAGGACGGACAAGAGCCAGAGAGACACAGAGGCCGUUGGUAGACGGGACGCAAUGGGGUGAGGGGAGCUGGGCGGGGUCCCAAGGUGGGGGAAGGCAGAACCAGGGGCUGGCCGGGAUGGGUAGGCGUUCAGGGCUUGGGGGGUACGGGGCUGGGACAGAGCUGAGGAGAGCCACGCCCCUGCCCGAGGGACGAGAGGGCGGAGGCAUCUCAGAUGCUCCGCCCUCUGGGCGUGGCUCAGCUUAUGGUCAGGACCGCCCUCGCUUACCGGAGGAAGGAGGGAACUGCCCUUGGGCAAGGCCGAAGCAGGCCCACGGACCCUGGGAGUCAGGGCGACUAAUCUGCGGCCUCUGGGGCUAA